GGUUAAGCGACUAAGCGUACACGGUGGAUGCCCUGGCAGUCAGAGGCGAUGAAGGACGUGCUAAUCUGCGAAAAGCGUCGGUAAGGUGAUAUGAACCGUUAUAGCCGGCGAUGUCCGAAUGGGGAAACCCAGUGCAAUUCGUUGCACUAUCGUUAACUGAAUACAUAGGUUAACGAGGCGAACCGGGGGAACUGAAACAUCUAAGUACCCCGAGGAAAAGAAAUCAACCGAGAUUCCCCCAGUAGCGGCGAGCGAACGGGGAGCAGCCCAGAGUCUGAAUCAGCUUGUGUGUUAGUGGAACGGUCUGGAAAGUCCGACGGUACAGGGUGAUAGUCCCGUACACCAAAAUGCACAGGUUGUGAACUCGAAGAGUAGGGCGGGACACGUGGUAUCCUGUCUGAAUAUGGGGGGACCAUCCUCCAAGGCUAAAUACUCCUGACUGACCGAUAGUGAACCAGUACCGUGAGGGAAAGGCGAAAAGAACCCCGGCGAGGGGAGUGAAAAAGAACCUGAAACCGUGUACGUACAAGCAGUGGGAGCACCUUCGGGUGUGACUGCGUACCUUUUGUAUAAUGGGUCAGCGACUUAUAUUCUGUAGCAAGGUUAACCGUAUAGGGGAGCCGCAGGGAAACCGAGUCUUAACUGGGCGUUAAGUUGCAGGGUAUAGACCCGAAACCCGGUGAUCUAGCCAUGGGCAGGUUGAAGGUUGGGUAACACUAACUGGAGGACCGAACCGACUAAUGUUGAAAAAUUAGCGGAUGACUUGUGGCUGGGGGUGAAAGGCCAAUCAAACCGGGAGAUAGCUGGUUCUCCCCGAAAGCUAUUUAGGUAGCGCCUCGUGAAUUCAUCUUCGGGGGUAGAGCACUGUUUCGGCUAGGGGGUCAUCCCGACUUACCAACCCGAUGCAAACUACGAAUACCGAAGAAUGUUAUCCCGGGAGACACACGGCGGGUGCUAACGUCCGUCGUGAAGAGGGAAACAACCCAGACCGCCAGCUAAGGUCCCAAAGUCAUGGUUAAGUGGGAAACGAUGUGGGAAGGCACAGACAGCCAGGAUGUUGGCUUAGAAGCAGCCAUCAUUUAAAGAAAGCGUAAUAGCUCACUGGUCGAGUCGGCCUGCGCGGAAGAUGUAACGGGGCUAAACCAUGCACCGAAGCUGCGGCAGCGACACUAUGUGUUGUUGGGUAGGGGAGCGUUCUGUAAGCCUGCGAAGGUGUGCUGUGAGGCAUGCUGGAGGUAUCAGAAGUGCGAAUGCUGACAUAAGUAACGAUAAAGCGGGUGAAAAGCCCGCUCGCCGGAAGACCAAGGGUUCCUGUCCAACGUUAAUCGGGGCAGGGUGAGUCGACCCCUAAGGCGAGGCCGAAAGGCGUAGUCGAUGGGAAACAGGUUAAUAUUCCUGUACUUGGUGUUACUGCGAAGGGGGGACGGAGAAGGCUAUGUUAGCCGGGCGACGGUUGUCCCGGUUUAAGCAUGUAGGCUGGUUGUCCAGGCAAAUCCGGAUAAUCAAGGCUGAGGUGUGAUGACGAGGCACUACGGUGCUGAAGUAACAAAUGCCCUGCUUCCAGGAAAAGCCUCUAAGCAUCAGGUAACAUCAAAUCGUACCCCAAACCGACACAGGUGGUCAGGUAGAGAAUACCAAGGCGCUUGAGAGAACUCGGGUGAAGGAACUAGGCAAAAUGGUGCCGUAACUUCGGGAGAAGGCACGCUGGUGUGUAGGUGAAGUCCCUGCGGAUGGAGCUGAGACCAGUCGAAGAUACCAGCUGGCUGCAACUGUUUAUUAAAAACACAGCACUGUGCAAACACGAAAGUGGACGUAUACGGUGUGACGCCUGCCCGGUGCCGGAAGGUUAAUUGAUGGGGUUAUCCGUAAGGAGAAGCUCUUGAUCGAAGCCCCGGUAAACGGCGGCCGUAACUAUAACGGUCCUAAGGUAGCGAAAUUCCUUGUCGGGUAAGUUCCGACCUGCACGAAUGGCGUAAUGAUGGCCAGGCUGUCUCCACCCGAGACUCAGUGAAAUUGAACUCGCUGUGAAGAUGCAGUGUACCCGCGGCAAGACGGAAAGACCCCGUGAACCUUUACUAUAGCUUGACACUGAACAUUGAGCCUUGAUGUGUAGGAUAGGUGGGAGGCUUUGAAGCGUGGACGCCAGUCUGCGUGGAGCCAACCUUGAAAUACCACCCUUUAAUGUUUGAUGUUCUAACGUUGGCCCCUGACCGGGGUUGCGGACAGUGUCUGGUGGGUAGUUUGACUGGGGCGGUCUCCUCCCAAAGCGUAACGGAGGAGCACGAAGGUUAGCUAAUCCUGGUCGGACAUCAGGAGGUUAGUGCAAUGGCAUAAGCUAGCUUGACUGCGAGCGUGACGGCGCGAGCAGGUGCGAAAGCAGGUCAUAGUGAUCCGGUGGUUCUGAAUGGAAGGGCCAUCGCUCAACGGAUAAAAGGUACUCCGGGGAUAACAGGCUGAUACCGCCCAAGAGUUCAUAUCGACGGCGGUGUUUGGCACCUCGAUGUCGGCUCAUCACAUCCUGGGGCUGAAGUAGGUCCCAAGGGUAUGGCUGUUCGCCAUUUAAAGUGGUACGCGAGCUGGGUUUAGAACGUCGUGAGACAGUUCGGUCCCUAUCUGCCGUGGGCGCUGGAGAAUUGAGGGGGGCUGCUCCUAGUACGAGAGGACCGGAGUGGACGCAUCACUGGUGUUCGGGUUGUCAUGCCAAUGGCACUGCCCGGUAGCUAAAUGCGGAAGAGAUAAGUGCUGAAAGCAUCUAAGCACGAAACUUGCCCCGAGAUGAGUUCUCCCUGAGACUUUAAGUCUCCUGAAGGAACGUUGAAGACGACGACGUUGAUAGGCCGGGUGUGUAAGCGCAGCGAUGCGUUGAGCUAACCGGUACUAAUGAACCGUGAGGCUUAACCUU
This 2902-nucleotide ribosomal RNA is filed under the name Klebsiella pneumoniae. Its description in RNAcentral is "23S ribosomal RNA". It matches the Rfam family "Bacterial large subunit ribosomal RNA". Lineage: Bacteria; Pseudomonadati; Pseudomonadota; Gammaproteobacteria; Enterobacterales; Enterobacteriaceae. The record is from RNAcentral.